RNAcentral lists this ribosomal RNA (460 nucleotides) under uncultured bacterium. Its description in RNAcentral is "partial 16S ribosomal RNA". It matches the Rfam family "Bacterial small subunit ribosomal RNA", at positions 338 to 795 of the family's 1533-position model. The record is from RNAcentral.
CCUACGGGAGGCAGCAGUGAGGAAUAUUGGUCAAUGGACGAGAGUCUGAACCAGCCAAGUAGCGUGAAGGAUGACUGCCCUAUGGGUUGUAAACUUCUUUUAUAUGGGAAUAAAAUGUUCCACGUGUGGGAUUUUGUAUGUACCAUAUGAAUAAGGAUCGGCUAACUCCGUGCCAGCAGCCGCGGUAAUACGGAGGAUCCGAGCGUUAUCCGGAUGUAUUGGGUUUAAAGGGAGCGUAGGUGGAUUGUUAAGUCAGUUGUGAAAGUUUGCGGCUCAACCGUAGAAUUGCAGUUGAAACUGGCAGUCUUGAGUACAGUAGAGGUGGGCGGAAUUCGUGGUGUAGCGGUGAAAUGCUUAGAUAUCACGAAGAACUCCGAUUGCGAAGGCAGCUCACUGGACUGCAACUGACACUGAGGCUCGAAAGUGUGGGUAUCAAACAGGAUUAGAUACCCCGGUAGUC